UACUCCUGACUUUCCAUCUUAUUAUCAUUUUCACAUUUUGCAUCUGACUUCUUCUCGGCUGAAUCAAUCGAUUACUCCUUUUCCAACUUUCAUGACUAUGGCUAUCCAUAUUUCAUCUAACUUUAAGCUCUUUAAUUUUUUCUCAAUUUCAUUUAUUAUCAUCAUUAUCCCCGUUUUCCAAUUAAAAACCCACUAAUCCAUUUUACUCUGGCUGCCGUUGUCCUCUUCCAAUUUUUCUCUGAGAAAUUUAGAAGAUCUUCUGGAAAUUGGAGGCUACUCACAAACGUUUAAUGUCUACUUUUGUUGUUUGACUAUUAGCAGAUUAAUUAUUUUGACCUUAGUUAAUUUUGCAUACUGAUUUUUAUGCAUACUAAUUUAAUAUGUAGAAUUUUGCAAUUUGGCAUUUUGGCAAAAUUUCAAUGGUUAUCUGAAUUCUGAAAGCACAUAUUUCGUAAUUUAUUAGGUCUUAUUGUUCCUUACUCCAUUUAUAAAAGAUGUUGCCUAAAAAUACUUAUCUGGCUGUGAAAAAAGAAAAAGCAAAAAAAGAGAAAAGGAACUAAAAAAACACAACAAGGAGCUUUUGAUAAAUUUA
This is a long non-coding RNA of Amaranthus tricolor (Joseph's coat), 592 nucleotides long. RefSeq lists it as uncharacterized. The record is from RefSeq and is a predicted model, not a curated record. The transcript has 2 exons. Lineage: Eukaryota; Viridiplantae; Streptophyta; Magnoliopsida; Caryophyllales; Amaranthaceae.